RNAcentral lists this long non-coding RNA (525 nucleotides) under Gallus gallus (chicken). RNAcentral describes it as "long non-coding RNA NONGGAT005373". Lineage: Eukaryota; Metazoa; Chordata; Aves; Galliformes; Phasianidae. The record is from RNAcentral.
GUCAGUGCUUGCUGAUACCACCUGGUUAUGGAAUCAUAAAGGUGCUGUGAAGAGUUGAGAUUCCUAUUGGAGAUUCCUGUUGGACAUCAUUGGCUGUCCACUACUUGGACAUUCAGGCAGUGAGUCUGGGGGUCCGCACACUCUCCCCUCCCUGCAUGCACAUGGCUGUCCUGCAGCGUGGGCUUGGAGGAAAGGCACAAACUCAGUCCCAGCCUCAGCACCGUUCCAGCAGACGCUGCACAGCCCCCAGUUUGGAACAACUGAUAUGAAUUAAAGCAAUUAAUGCAGCCAGAUCCAGCAGGUUGAUAACAUCGGUGGCGUUUAUCUUCUGAGACCUCCCAAAGUCCUCCAGCAAAAAUAUCACAGAAUGAGCUCCGUGUCCCUCCACAGACCCAGUGAGACCCAGGAGGUGGUGCUUCACUGCAGUGCUGCCAGUGAUACCAUCGUGCUGCAUUGCUGAGGGCUCUGUGAUGGUCCAGGCGAGGGCUGUCCCAGAGGAUGCUGAAGGCCGUGCAAGGGUUGAAG